This is a long non-coding RNA of Meriones unguiculatus (Mongolian gerbil), 1007 nucleotides long. RefSeq lists it as uncharacterized. Lineage: Eukaryota; Metazoa; Chordata; Mammalia; Rodentia; Muridae. The record is from RefSeq and is a predicted model, not a curated record. The transcript is spliced from 4 exons.
UUUCUACUUCUGUCUCCCUCCUCUGCUCUGUCCCUCGCCUGCCUCCCCCACCUUAACCUUAUCCUGCCAUGGACCUGUAACUGAGCCCGCCGCGCUUGGGAUGAAAGGCUAUCUACCUCUAAGGUUUCCUGGCAGAGAGAAAUGGAGAAUGAUGACCGGUUACACUUUGCAUCUGAAAAGAAGGAAGGAAGGAAAGAGAAAGAAGAGCAACAAAAAGGAAAAGAAGUUGGUGAGGACUUCCUGUGUUAGGUUGCCAAGAGCGUCUUACCAUCAAGCUUAAGGAAUGACAAGAACUUCCCAUUCUAAGCCUUCAAUGUCAAGUAAAGCAGCUGUCAGCCCAUGUGGCUGCUUGCUACUCACUCGUGAAGAGGCUGACACAGUGUUUAUAAAGGACACAGAAGAAGGAAGCUUCUCUCUUUUUGCCUGCUUGCCCUUGCUGGCAAGUCCACUCCUUCUCUGGUGUCAGAGACUACUUCUCCAGGAUUCUGACCUAUACUGAGGACCAGCUGAAAGAGCCAGCCUUGAGAACUGAGCAACUGCUAGAUUCUUGGACCUUCCAUUCAUAUGCAGCCAUUUUGGAUUAGCUGGACCUAUAAGCUAUUCUAAUAAAUCACCUUUCUGUGUCUAUAAAGAUUCAUUCCAUAAAUUCUGUUCCUCUAGAGAAACCUGAGUAAUAAAUAUCACCUCUGAAACUUAAAGCGAACCUUCCAUUAAAUGCUUUCUCUUAUAAGUUUUCUUGAUUAUGGUAUCUCUUCGUAACAAUAGAACAUUAACUAAGACAAGAGACAUAGAAGGGUAAGAUGGAGGGGGAUUAUGUCAUUAUGUUUUAAUUUAAAACUUUGAAAUAAAAAGUAUAAUGAAAUGAAACUUUAAUAAUCAAUCAUUUAUCAUCCUCAAAUUUUAUCUUCUCCUUUUCUUAUGUAAGUCUGACUAAAUGAUUAUGAAAUUAGACCUAUUUUGUUCUGCAGUUAAACAUGUACAUUAGAAGAGGAUAAUAAAGAGCUGAA